This 475-nucleotide ribosomal RNA is filed under the name uncultured bacterium. Its description in RNAcentral is "bacterial SSU rRNA". It matches the Rfam family "Bacterial small subunit ribosomal RNA", at positions 38 to 507 of the family's 1533-position model. The record is from RNAcentral.
GGCGGCGUGCUUAACACAUGCAAGUCAAGGAGAAAGUCUCGCUUGCGAGAUGAUUAAACUGGCGCACGGGCGAGUAAUAUAUAAGCAAUCUACCCAUAGGUUUGGGAUAACGUCGAGAAAUCGGCGCUAAUACCGUAUAAUGCAGCGGCAUCGCAUGAUGAUGUUGUUAAAGUUCUUGAAACGCCUAUGGAUGAGCUUGUAUCUGAUUAGCUUGUUGGUGAGGUAACGGCUCACCAAGGCAAUGAUCAGUAGCUGGUCUGAGAGGAUGAUCAGCCACAUUGGAACUGAGACACGGUCCAGACUCCUACGGGAGGCAGCAGUGAGGAAUAUUGGGCAAUGGGCGAAAGCCUGACCCAGCAACGCCGCGUGGAGGAUGAAUGUCGUAAGAUUGUAAACUCCUUUUAGAGGGGACGAAAAAACAGGUUAGAAGCCUGAAUUGACGGUACCCUCAGAAUAAGCCCCGGCUAACUACGUG